AGAAUGAAAUAGUACUCACUAGAUGACGGUGUCUGUCAAUUUUAGCCCCCACUAGAGGAAAUGUCGAACACCGACUUUGACGUGAUAUAGAAUGAAAUCCGCAGCAACCAUACAAGGUCCAAAGAGAUGGCCACAGGACUAACAGAUAGUAGUGGAUGCAAUCAAAGCAAGUAUAAACUUAUGUUACGAAAUUAUUGUAGAAGAGAACUGGAUUCGGCAGACGAAGAUAUGCUUGAAAAACACGAAUCAGACAUUAAGAAAUUGUGGAGCUACAUUGACAGAAAAUACGAAAAAAUACUCAAUGAGACAGUUAUGGAUGAAGAAAUAGAAUAUCUGUGUGAUGAGAGGUCAUCAUUAUCAUAUAAAAACUAAGAAAGCAAAAAAGACUCUGAGAAGAGGAGAGGCAAGGGUCAAUAGCCUAUCUUCUGGCAUAGUGGUGGCGGCAAUCAAAGGCAGAUUUCGCUAUAUUAGGAAAUGAAUACGGCCGACGAUGAUGAGCUUAAAAAGUAUGAAUCAAAAAUUAGGAUUUUCUGGUAUCAGGAAAUAGCACGCAAAUAUCGCAGAGGAUUUGUUAAUAAGGAUAAUGACGAUCUGUCUGUUGAUAUCCGUGAUAUCAUACGAAGACUAAGAAUUAAAAAAACAUAUUGACACAUAAAAAGGAGGAGAAGUAUAUACAGACGACAACACGGGGUUUAAGAAAAUGGGGAUGGGAAAAUCCAGCAAAAGAAGGAGGAUGAAAAAGACGUGAGAAAAUACCUUACAAAAAUACAUGUUGAAGACAAUGCGACAAUGGAAACUGACAAAAAGUUGAUAAGAUCAACUAAAUGCGACCACAAUCCACGCAGGGUGACAGAAAUAGAAGCCGUUCCCUCGACGUUUGGGUCUAAGCAACCGGAACGGACCCCCGAUAUUUAUCCGGCCAAAGACUGUCAACUCGGUACCAUUCCUCGAAAUUACUACAGGAAUAUUUUCUGCGCUACGACAACAACAACAGAAAUAGAAGAAGAGGAUAAUGUUGAAACAUAUGAAGCAUAUUUUUUUAUGAGUAAAACUAACGACAAAUUAUUUUCCUCUUAAAUUUAUAUUUUACCGCUUGUAAUCAUAAUUAGCGCUUGCGCAGUACUAGAAUAUGAAGAAUGAUUUUCACGAUAAACUAACCAAUUAAAUUUUGUCCUAAAUACUGUAACGGAUUACUCGAUAAAUCGUCUACCUGUAACUCAUUCUUGAGUUCGAUCACUGGAUUGUUAAAUAAAACUCCCCAAUUUAAUGGCUACACAUUUAUCUUUAUUUCGAAUUCCAACAACUUAACACUUAUUGCUCGAUAUUCGAGCUUACAACUUCUUGCUUAUGUCUCAAUUGUUCUUAUCACGACAACACUCUAACUAGAACUGUGUUUGCUGCACAAUCCGGCAGCCCUUAUAUAGUAAAUCUGUAACAAAACAUUGCUUCUAGAACAUUCUGGCAACUACGAAUUCGCUAACUAGUUGCUUCUGGCAGUUUAUCGUUGAUUCGAUUUUGUUCUAUCAUCCGUGUUCGUCACAAUACGUUCAUAUUCGGUAUAGUUAUAUAUAAAAUCACCUUUAGUCGUUGCAACAGUAUUGAAAUUUCAGAUUCACCUAGUGAUUCUGAAUGCAGUUAAAAUAGGUCGAACAGGAAUAAAAAAUUAAAAAGUUUGAAAAAGAAAAAACCUGCGAUUCCAAAAUUCUGUAAUGCUUGGCUGCAAAAUCCAGAGUUUAAGGAAUGGUUGAAGAUGUCAGUUUAUAAUGACAAAAACAAAGCAUUUUGUAAAGUAUUUAUGAGUGAAAUAAUUUGCUAUAAUAAGGGUAGUCUCAAACGACAUGCAAAGUCAAGAAGACAUAAAUCAAAUAUCUUUGAAACCUGUAAAAAAUCAUGCAAUUGAUACUCUAUUUGAAGAAACUCCGUUAAAUAGGCAAGUAAAAAGAGCGGAAUUAAUACUUUCUGCGGUAGUAGCAACGAAAUGCCUAUCAUUUUCCGUUAUUUUUGUACUUGGACUUAUUAUAACAAAGAUUUUUCUUGAUUCGAAGAAUGCAAAAAAAGAGUAUCAAUAUUGUAUUCUUUACAAAAGAAAGUCUUGUCACAAAAAAUAUACCUUUUUACUAUUUAGUUGGGUUCUCUUCUGACACUACCAAUGUUAUGGCUGGAGGACACAAAUCGAAAAUUGCAUUAUUCAAGAAAGAUAAUGACGACCUAGCAUUUAUCAAAUGUUCAUGUCACGGCAUACAUAUUGUUAAUUCACAUGAAUGUAGCAAACUGUCUAAUUCUGCUGAAGAACUACUUCGUAAUUUAGCGUCAUAUUUUCAUCAGUUGGUAGAGGAUUAAGCAGUUGCAAGAAUUCCAGGAGUAUUUUGAAGUAAGUUUGCACAGAAUCUUGUCACUGAGUAACACACGUCGGUUAUCACUGAAAAAUGGUGUUGACCGAGUUCUAGAGAAUACAUACAAUACCUUUACAGGGUUUUCUCCAAGGCCAGUUACUUUCAGACCCAUCUCCUACAGUACAAACUAUGAUUAAAACCAUGGAUAAUCAGUUCACUUUUAUUACUUUGCAGUCUUUAAGUUAUGCACUAGGUAUUUUUACAGAAUGUAACAAAAUGUUUCAAAAAUAGAAAUUUGUAUUACACAAGGUGAAACCUGAGAUUGAGAAAAUGUUGAAAGAUCUGUGUUCAAACUACAUCGAUAUUGCUUACAUAAGGAACGACGACAUUUUAAACAUGGAUCACAAAAACCCUCGACUGUUUGUCUCAAUAGACAAUAUUUACGUGGGUCUUGAAGCACACGAAUAUAAAGAGAAGGAAACAAUGAAUUUAUGUUUAACAAUCUGAAAAAAGUUGUAUACGUUUUACUACAAUAAUUUUACUAUUUUCAAAUGUAUCGGUUGAGAAAAUUUUUAGUGACCUUAAAAAUGUUACAACAGAUCAUAGAAAUAAUGUAUCAACUGACACUUUGAAGUCUAUUUUGAUUACCAAAAACUUUUUAUCCAAAGAUAAUGAUAUCAUAAUUUUGAGCCUAAUGAUGAAAUGUUAAAUGCUUAAAUUUGGGAUAUAAAAGAUAUUUUGAAAAGUAUGUUAAUGUAUUAUAUGUUACGUUAUGACUUGUAUAAUAAUUGUAAGUGUUAAAUUUAUAAAAGUAUUUUAUAAAAAAAAUUAUGACAAUAUUAUUUAAAAUAAAGCAUUGUAAUUAAUAAAUAAUUCUUUUAAUACUGCAAGGAUGAGAUUAUAAAUAAAUUUUUAUAUUUGCUG
Non-coding RNA from Bactrocera oleae (olive fruit fly), 3257 nucleotides. The record is from RefSeq and is a predicted model, not a curated record. NCBI's taxonomy places the organism in Eukaryota, Metazoa, Arthropoda, Insecta, Diptera, Tephritidae.